GAUUAUGGCUCAGGAUGAACGCUAGCGGCAGGCUUAACACAUGCAAGGCGAGGGGCAGCGAGGGUAGCAAUACCUGUCGGCGACCGGCGGAAGGGUGCGUAACGCGUGAGCAACAUGCCCGUCAUUGGGGGAUAGUCAUUGGAAACGAUGCGUAAUACCCCAUAACCACUGAAAUCGCAUGGUUUUAGUGUAAAAGAUGCGUCGAUGACGGAUUGGCUCGCGUGGCAUUAGCCAGUUGGCGGGGUAACGGCCCACCAAAGCUACGAUGCCUAGGGGUUCUGAGAGGAAGACCCCCCACAUUGGGACUGAGACACGGCCCAAACUCCUACGGGAGGCAGCAGUGAGGAAUAUUGGUCAAUGGACGGAAGUCUGAACCAGCCAUGCCGCGUGAAGGAUGGGCCGGCCCUAUGGGUUGUAAACUUCUUUUGUGACAGAGCAAUAAGGUCUACGUGUAGACCGAUGAGAGUAUGCCACGAAUAAGCAUCGGCUAACUCCGUGCCAGCAGCAGC
RNAcentral lists this ribosomal RNA (509 nucleotides) under uncultured bacterium. RNAcentral describes it as "bacterial SSU rRNA". It matches the Rfam family "Bacterial small subunit ribosomal RNA", at positions 15 to 518 of the family's 1533-position model. The record is from RNAcentral.